RNAcentral lists this ribosomal RNA (497 nucleotides) under uncultured bacterium. RNAcentral describes it as "partial 16S ribosomal RNA". It matches the Rfam family "Bacterial small subunit ribosomal RNA", at positions 28 to 507 of the family's 1533-position model. The record is from RNAcentral.
GAUGAACGCUGGCGGCGUGCCUAAUACAUGCAAGUCGAGCGAACAGACGAGGAGCUUGCUCCUCUGACGUUAGCGGCGGACGGGUGAGUAACACGUGGAUAACCUACCUAUAAGACUGGGAUAACUUCGGGAAACCGGAGCUAAUACCGGAUAAUAUAUUGAACCGCAUGGUUCAAUAGUGAAAGACGGUUUUGCUGUCACUUAUAGAUGGAUCCGCGCCGCAUUAGCUAGUUGGUAAGGUAACGGCUUACCAAGGCAACGAUGCGUAGCCGACCUGAGAGAGUGAUCGGCCACACGGGAGCUGAGACACGGUCCAGACUCCUACGGGAGGCAGCAGUAGGGAAUCUUCCGCAAUGGGCGAAAGCCUGACGGAGCAACGCCGCGUGAGUGAUGAAGGUCUUCGGAUCGUAAAACUCUGUUAUUAGGGAAGAACAAAUGUGUAAGUAACUAUGCACGUCUUGACGGUACCUAAUCAGAAAGCCACGGCUAACUACGUG